This 253-nucleotide ribosomal RNA is filed under the name uncultured bacterium. RNAcentral describes it as "partial 16S ribosomal RNA". It matches the Rfam family "Bacterial small subunit ribosomal RNA", at positions 524 to 776 of the family's 1533-position model. The record is from RNAcentral.
UACGAAGGAUGCAAGCGUUAUCCGGAUUUAUUGGGUUUAAAGGGAGCGUAGGCGGUCUUAUAAGUCAGUGGUGAAAUCUCGUUGCUUAACAACGACCGUGCCAUUGAUACUGUAGGACUUGAGUACAGUUGCCGUUGGCGGAAUGUGUCAUGUAGCGGUGAAAUGCAUAGAUAUGACACAGAACACCGAUUGCGAAGGCAGCUGACGAAACUGUAACUGACGCUGAGGCACGAAAGCGUGGGGAUCAAACAGG